GACGAACGCUGGCGGCGCGCUUAACACAUGCAAGUCGAACGGAAAGGCCUGCUUUCCCUUGUGGAUUGCGGGUACUCGAGUGGCGAACGGGUGAGUAACACGUGAGUGAUCUGCCCCCAACUUGGGUAUAAGCCUGGGAAACUGGGUCUAAUUCCCGAUAGGACUGCAGGGUGGUGCCUGUGGUGGAAAACGAUUUUCUAGUGGUUGGGGAUGAGCUCGCGGCCUAUCAGCUUGUUGGUGGGGUAAUGGCCUACCAAGGCGGCGACGGGUAGCCGGCCUGAGAGGGUGGACGGCCACAUUGGGACUGAGAUACGGCCCAGAAUCCUACGGGAGGCAGCAGUGGGGAAUAUUGCACAGUGGGCGGAAGCCUGAUGCAGCGACGCCGCGUGGGGGAUGACGGCCUUCGGGUUGUAAACUCCUUUCGACCGCGAGGAAGCCACCUGGUUGGAAGGGUGGUGACGGUAGUGGUAGAAGAAGCACCGGCUAACUACGUG
This 494-nucleotide ribosomal RNA is filed under the name uncultured bacterium. Its description in RNAcentral is "partial 16S ribosomal RNA". It matches the Rfam family "Bacterial small subunit ribosomal RNA", at positions 28 to 507 of the family's 1533-position model. The record is from RNAcentral.